AUACAGAGGGUGCAAGCGUUAAUCGGAAUUACUGGGCGUAAAGGGCGCGUAGGCGGCAAAGUAGGUCAAAGGUGAAAUCCCCGGGCUCAACCUGGGAACUGCAUUCAAAACUGUUUAACUAGAGUAUGGUAGAGGGAAGUGGAAUUCCAGGUGUAGCGGUGAAAUGCGUAGAUAUCUGGAGGAACAUCAGUGGCGAAGGCGACUUCCUGGAUCAAUACUGACGCUGAGGUGCGAAAGCGUGGGGAGCAAACAGGAUUAGAUACCCCAGUAGUCC
This 274-nucleotide ribosomal RNA is filed under the name uncultured bacterium. RNAcentral's name for it is "partial 16S ribosomal RNA". It matches the Rfam family "Bacterial small subunit ribosomal RNA", at positions 523 to 796 of the family's 1533-position model. The record is from RNAcentral.